CCUACGGGCGGCUGCAGUGGGGAAUAUUGGGCAAUGGGCGCAAGCCUGACCCAGCAACGCCGCGUGAGGGAAGAAGGUUUUCGGAUUGUAAACCUCUGUCGCAGAUGACGAAGGAAGUGACGGUAAUCUGUGAGGAAGCCCCGGCUAACUACGUGCCAGCAGCCGCGGUAAUACGUAGGGGGCGAGCGUUGUCCGGAAUUACUGGGCGUAAAGGGAGCGUAGGCGGCCGAUUAAGUUGGAUGUGAAAUCCCCGGGCUUAACUUGGGUGGUGCAUCCAAUACUGGUUGGCUAGAGUACAGGAGAGGAAAGCGGAAUUCCUGGUGUAGCGGUGAAAUGCAUAGAUAUCAGGAGGAACAUCGGUGGCGAAGGCGGCUUUCUGGACUGAAACUGACGCUGAGGCUCGAAAGCGUGGGGAGCAAACAGGCUUAGAUACCCGAGUAGUC
RNAcentral lists this ribosomal RNA (443 nucleotides) under uncultured bacterium. RNAcentral describes it as "bacterial SSU rRNA". It matches the Rfam family "Bacterial small subunit ribosomal RNA", at positions 338 to 795 of the family's 1533-position model. The record is from RNAcentral.